GUCCGCGUGGUCUAGCGGUUAUGACGUCUGCUUUACACGCAGAAUAUCGUCGGUUCAAAUCCGACCGUGGACA
This is a non-coding RNA of Phlyctochytrium arcticum, 73 nucleotides long. The record is from the annotation of a GenBank genome assembly. Lineage: Eukaryota; Fungi; Chytridiomycota; Chytridiomycetes; Chytridiales; Chytridiaceae.